This is an unclassified non-coding RNA of Erinaceus europaeus (western European hedgehog), 345 nucleotides long. Its record names the gene 7SK. It matches the Rfam family "7SK RNA". Rfam says of the family: 7SK was discovered as an abundant small nuclear RNA in the mid-70s but a possible function has only recently been suggested. Two independent studies have found that 7SK RNA binds the CDK9/cyclin T complex (known as elongation factor P-TEFb). NCBI's taxonomy places the organism in Eukaryota, Metazoa, Chordata, Mammalia, Eulipotyphla, Erinaceidae. The record is from Ensembl.
GGAUGUGAGGGUGAUCUGGCUAUGACAUGUCACCCCAUUGAUCACCCGGGUUGAUUUGGCUGAUCUGACUGGCUAAGCAGUGUCCCCUUCCUCCCUCACUGCUCCAUGUGCAGCCCUUCCUUCCUGAACCCACAAGCUUGGUCAAAGAGGACAGCCUUCCCUGAACAAAGACAGACUGGUCUUUUGUCAACAGUAAGCAAGUAACUGUGCUCCCCUUCUAGAACCUCCAAACAACCUCUCAAGGUCCAUUAGCACACCAUCUCAUGCCUUUUCAUGGACCCAUUUAAGAAGACUGGCUAGCAAGGCAAAAGUAUCCCAAGGCUCUGCCAUGAUUCCUUAAUACAU